CGCUGCCUUUACACUGGGCGACAGAAUGACUGCGCGCAUAGCAAGUAAGAGUCAGCCUCACACUUUACAUCACGAGUGUCAAACGCAUUCCACGGAGUCUCUUGCAUCUGCAGUUGGCUUACCUUUCAAUGAAGACCUAGACAACCAGGUGAGGGGAGUUCCUUACUAAUUAGUGACCUAAAUUGAUCAAUCGAGGGAGGAGCGAAAACCUGUAGACACUCUGUGCUCUGUGGAAUGAGUUUGUGCUUUACAUCAUUGAUUGUGUAUGUUUUGUUGUAGUGUGGCAUGACUGAUCUCCAAAUGUUAUUUUUGAUGCAAGGGUCAGUCUGGACUAUCCUUUAAAGUCGGCUGCAAUUUCGGAACCCUCCCUGUCUUCUCCUUUCAGAUGAUUUGGUGACAUUUGCAGCAGACCAAAGAAACCCAUGCCCCAGAGGCUGGUUCCAAUUUAAUUCACGCUGCUUCAUGUUUGUCAAAACUGCAAGGACAUGGCCCAAUGCAGAGCGCCACUGUCAGUUACUUGGACAAAAACUGAAGCCUGUGUACAACACUGUAAAGUACCUUGGCGCAAACCUGGCAUCUGUGCACAGCUAUGAAGAGUCCCAAUUUCUACAGGCGGUGGUGUUGAUCACGACUGGCAGUUUCCCUCUUACCUGGAUUGGCGGAUUUGAUGCUGUUCAAGCAAAGGUGGAAAAGGUACCCAAAGUGAAGAUGCCUUAAUACUUAAGACUAAUAAAACCAUCAGCUCGGAGUAGGUGUUAAGACACUGGUCAGACAACUCUGUGCCAGGAGUAAUCAACUGGCCAGUUUCUCAGCUGGUAAUGACCACAGUUUGAGGUACCGCAGAGGAAAGAUUGACAUUCGCAACUCGAGUUCUACGUGGAAUUUGGAUAUUACCAUUUUAAUAACUGUAAAUUGCUUUGGCACAGUAGGCAUGAAGUUACUUGCCUACCUUUUAACCAGACACUAUUCAAGUAAACAUGGCCCAAUGUCAUCUCUUUAAACUGAUAUUAAUGUGACUUUAAGUAUUUAGGCAUGUGACCUAUGCCUCGUGAAGUCAUUGUCAAAAGCAAAAGAAAUACUGUUGGUUGUAGGUCUAGAUUUGAGUUGAGCAUCUCGAAAUAUCCAGAGCAAUUGCCACAGAUGAUCCAUUAGAUGAUCCAUUAGAUGAUCCAUUAGAUGAUCCAUUAGAUGAUCCAUUAGAUGAUCCAUUAGAUGAUCCAUUAGAUGAACCAGAUACUCCAUUGGCCUCUAACGAUGUGAAGAGUCUGCAAUGUCGGGCAGAUUCGAGGGACAGGCACAACUCGGAGAGAAAUGUUUUUCUCAGUUUCUGGCAUGUCAUGUGUGCUACUUGUAUCAGUACUCGUAACGACCUAAGCAUUACAAAACGUAUAUAUUUGCUCAAAUAAGCCAUUAUGUUUUUCGUUAAUUAAAUUUGCCAUCUUAUUGACGGCCAUACAAAAACGAGUUGCUUGGUGACCAGGAAAAACGCUACCCGCUUGAGAAGGCAGAUUUUGGGCUUAUAGUUAUCCUUCUCGCUUCGCCUCUUCCUCUUUGCUAUGGCGCAGAAACGACUUACUAGCUGUCUUUUUCUAAUUUUGGGAUUUCUAGAAAUGUGUAUCAACACUUGUGUAUUUUUUUCACCCAACAGUUCCAGUGUCAGUCUGCACGUUUUGCUAGUGGUGGCUUUUACCGUUUUGUUGGAGGAAAGACCAUGAGUGUUGUAUUUUAGAAAUUGUUCAGCAAGCACAUGUAACAUUUGAUACUGAGAUCUCACUACUUCCACACAGGACAGGCUAUGGUUCUGGAGUGACGGCUCCAAAUUUGAUCACGAGAGCUGGGCUGAAGGGGAGCCGAAUAACAACAAUGGUGCCAGAGAGCCAUGUAUUCAUUUCAACUUUGGAGGUACAUUAUCAUUCAUCAAAUUAAACUUUUUUGAGUAAGUUUAACAAAUAAAUGUGAGCUACUUUUCUCUUUUCGAGUGUACAUCGAGAGGUAAUUUCUAUUUCGUGUUUCCUCUUAAGCUGAAAACGGCUGGAACGAUGUCUCAUGUGGAAAGAGCUAUCCCUCCGUGUGCUCCAUAAGAACCUGUUUAAUCCUUCAAACUGUCAAUUGAAACAGAAAAUGCUACUCUGGUGUCAGCAUCCUAACUGCAAAUGUUUCAUGUUAUAGUGAAUUACUUUGAAGGUAUUUGUUGCUGUAAAAUACAUUUGACUUGUUGUGUAACUAUUGUAGCUUGUUGUCAAUAAAACUGGUGUACGUAUUUAAUCUCAUGAGUCGUUAUUUAACAUUGCUUCACUUUGUUUCUUGAAGAUGCAGUCUGGGUGGGCAUUUCAAUUCUUUGAUCCAUUGUUUCUUGAAGAAUAGGAUUCUAUGAGGACCCAAAAAGUUGUCUUACUCCACAAACAUUAACGUAAACGAACAGU
Oncorhynchus kisutch (coho salmon) is the source of this 2423-nucleotide long non-coding RNA. The record is from Ensembl. Lineage: Eukaryota; Metazoa; Chordata; Actinopteri; Salmoniformes; Salmonidae.